AUUUUCCCACAGCUGCAGCAGUAAAAUGGAAUCUGACGUGACUCAGGGAUUUCAGAACCCUUCAAAAAAUCUUGAAACUGCCCAUGGUAUCUCUUUGAAACCACUGAACAGGCAAUGCGCUACAUAUUAGGCACACCUGUAGCUCAGUAGCAAAGGCACUGAUAAAAUGUUUGCAAAAAGAACAGCGAUUUUCAACACAUACAUCACAAAAUACGACACUCGUCACUGCAACAACGAUGGCGAUUGCAUAAUGAUGAUGAUGUUGGUGUAACUUCCGCUGGAUUGGCAUGUGUGUUAUUUAACAUUUAACCUCCACCACCCAAUUAUAAUGAACGGCCACAGAAAUUAAAGUAUUACAAAAAAUAAGUACUCAAUAAGCACGAGCUAAAGCAAUGGCAAUGACGCCUGCCCGUCUACCCAAUCACCAUCCAUCAUCCAUCCAUCCAACCAGUUCGAACCAGUUCAGUUUCAACGGUUGAAACUUCAAACUUUCCGGACGCGCAACGGGUAGCAGUUGGGGUCUUCGCGGCUGCAUUCCACUGGUUGUUAUACGAAAAUCUUUCGAAGUUCUAAUCUCCCGCGCGUUUUGUCUUGCAAUUUUUGAGCAUAGCGAGAACGUACGCCGUGCUGUCCAGUGAUAAAAGCUGUUGAGCACAGCAGAGCUCCCAGAGUACUGUGGUGGACAACGUUUCUUUGUUCUCUGGCUUUCAAGUUUAAGGGGUGCUUGGACUAUCUUGCAUCGGUGGAUAUGAAAAUAGUGGUAACCUACCCUACGAAACAGCUGUUUGCACAUAAGCUUAACAGUUCCCUGUGAGAUGCUGUGAAAGUCAGCAGGGAAGUGCGAUGUAGAAGAAACGACUGCCAGAAGCUUGCUAAGGAACCACACAACCUGUGUGGGCAGCAGACAAAAUAUUCAUCAAACGGUACAAAACUAGUAUUUUUGUGCUUUGUCGUUUUGAGACAUCCUUGGUAUUGUAUGGAGAACAGCGUGACUAUGUCAUUCCGUCUUACUUCACCCAAACAGCUAUCUGGUAGUAGUGCAAGAUUUGAGUUCCUAAAAGGUUUAUUCACUGAAGUCACCUCAGCGCCAUACUAUAGGUCCCGCAAUGUUUAGUCCUUGCAUUUGUUUGCUGCAUUAUGCUUUUUAGGUGACUAUUAACACCAAAAAUAUGGAAAUUGCUCAGACAUUCUACAAAUCACAGAGCAACAAGUUUUAAACACCAGAUAUACGGUGAGUAUAAUAUGGGUAAGAGCUUGACUGAAAUCUACAAUAGGGCCGAUGGCAGCAAAUCUGCCUGCUAGCGACAGUGGCGGUCUCCUGCGGAUGACGUCAUGUGAAUAAACUUGUAUACUACUUGUACGUACUUAUAAUAUUUGACGUGGUGAUACAGCUCUUGCUUUGUAUUGUCUUUUAUAAUAUACACAGUGUUUAUUUUUAUCCUGUACAGAAGCUUUGCACCAAAGUUAUGAGAGCAGCACAGAUGUUUUAGCGUAAUGGAGUGAUGGAAGUGCUGCGCCAAUCAUGGAGUGCUUAGCAGUCGCCUGCUCGACCAGCCACAGUGAGUCAUUGGGGGCAGUGCUACAGCACCAACAAUCACUCGUUGGAAGAAAGGAAUGAGGUGGCCAUCAACACCCUGCUGCCAGUUCAACACUCCUCAGUCAAAACACAAGACGCCUGCUUGGCGGCAAAGUCAAUCCAGUUUUAGACAAGAGUUUUGUACCGUAGACUUCGUGUGUGGUUUACAGCGAAUAAAUGUUUAUGCUGA
Ornithodoros turicata is the source of this 1766-nucleotide long non-coding RNA. RefSeq lists it as uncharacterized. The transcript is spliced from 4 exons. The record is from RefSeq and is a predicted model, not a curated record. Lineage: Eukaryota; Metazoa; Arthropoda; Arachnida; Ixodida; Argasidae.